Molecule: ribosomal RNA, 262 nt
Filed under: uncultured bacterium
Lineage: Bacteria
Description: partial 16S ribosomal RNA
Rfam family: Bacterial small subunit ribosomal RNA
Source: RNAcentral
GUCCAUGCCUUAAACGAUGCAUACUAGGAGUAGGAGGGCUCAACCCCCCCUGUUCCGGAGCUAACGCAUUAAGUAUGCCGCCUGGGGAGUACGCUCGCAAGGGUGAAACUCAAAAGAAUUGACGGGGGCCCGCACAAGCAGUGGAGCAUGUGGUUUAAUUCGAUGCAACGCGAAGAACCUUACCUGGGCUCGAAAUAUAGAGGACGAUAACAGAGAUGUUAUUCCCGUAAGGGCUUUUAUAUAGGUGCUGCAUGGCUGUCGU